AGUGAACGCUGGCGGUAGGCCUAACACAUGCAAGUCGAACGGCAGCACAGUAAGAGCUUGCUCUUACGGGUGGCGAGUGGCGGACGGGUGAGGAAUACAUCGGAAUCUACUUUUUCGUGGGGGAUAACGUAGGGAAACUUACGCUAAUACCGCAUACGACCUACGGGUGAAAGCAGGGGAUCUUCGGACCUUGCGCGAUUGAAUGAGCCGAUGUCGGAUUAGCUAGUUGGCGGGGUAAAGGCCCACCAAGGCGACGAUCCGUAGCUGGUCUGAGAGGAUGAUCAGCCACACUGGAACUGAGACACGGUCCAGAAUCCUACGGGAGGCAGCAGUGGGGAUUAUUCGACAAUGGGCGCAAGCCUAAUCCAGCCAUACCGCGUGGGUGAAGAAGGCCUUCGGGUCGUAAAGCAAUUUUGUUGGGAAAGAAAAGCAGCAGGUUAAUACCCCGCUGUUCUGACGGUACCCAAAGAAUAAGCACCGGCUAACUUCGUG
This 492-nucleotide ribosomal RNA is filed under the name uncultured bacterium. RNAcentral describes it as "partial 16S ribosomal RNA". It matches the Rfam family "Bacterial small subunit ribosomal RNA", at positions 29 to 507 of the family's 1533-position model. The record is from RNAcentral.